Molecule: unclassified non-coding RNA, 173 nt
Filed under: uncultured Trichothecium
Lineage: Eukaryota; Fungi; Ascomycota
Description: sequence contains ITS1
Source: RNAcentral
CCGAGUUUACACUCCCAACCCUUUGUGAACCUUACCUACCGUUGCUUCGGCGGACCGCCCCGGGCGCUGCGUGCCCCGGACCCAGGCGCCCGCCGGGGACCACUCAAACCCUGUUUUUGUUUUCAAAACAUGUGUAUCUUCUGAGCGAGCCGAAAGGCGCAAAAAAACAAUCA